AAAGGCAGGAUAAUUACUUGCAGGCUAGAGCUUGGCGCUGCUCCAGAAGUUAAGAGGCGGCAGCUGUGCCCUCUCCCGUCGGGAUCUGCCACAGAUGCUCCGGGCACCUUCAGAUCUCGCAGGUCAUAAGGGCAUUAAUGUGGAGCUGCUGACAGUGGGGCCCGAACUAGCUGGAGUCUCUCUUCCCAGGCUUCCGGGAAAUGAAAGCGGCAACCUCAAAGGUGACACGGGCUGCCUUCAGAUGCCAAAGAGCUCCAUUAAGCAUCUUUGUCUCCCUUUUCUGGUGGUACGGAUGCCCACAGCUUCUGUAAUGCCAUGGCGGUGCUUCUGGUUAGUUAUUUUGGCAGGGACUGGGGGCACAUGGCAAGCGACCUUGGCCUUUUAAUCAAUCGACAGCCUUCCUUCAUUAGUCAGAGAGGGAGGCAUCUGUGAGGGUCCUGUGAUUGCCGAGAAACUGGGUACCAAGGCUGCCGGGUUCUGUCUUCAGUUGCGGUCCUAGAAGCCACAAGGCAUAAAGAAAACCUGCUAAUGAAUGUGGGCGUGCUCAACAGGAGCACCCAGAAGCCUGAGUGGGGUUGAGGGAGGUGAGUCAUCCAUGUCUCCAUUCAGGUUUAGGAUCUCUCCUCUCCUCAUCAUGUACUAACUUCUUCCACCUACAAGACCCAGCUAGGAUGUGAAUUCAACUGAUAUAAUGUGGUACCUCACAGGCUCCCAUUCUGAGUUUGCUCUUUUGCUACCUCAGUCCAAUGGUGACCAGAAGGAGUUGUCUUCACCUAGUCCUGGGUAAUUCCCGGCAUCCCCAGCCUUCACAAGCCCAUGUUUCUCAGCUCUGCACUGGUGGCAUUUUAUUAUGUGUCUGUUCUAUGCAUUUCCAGAUGCUUAACAGUUCCUUGUUUUUAUUCAUUAGAUUUCAGUUUUCUCUCUCUGCCUCCCAGCCAGUUUUCUCUCUCUGCCUCUCUGGUGGCAGCCAGAAAGUCUGAGGACAUUGCCAUACCUCAUCUACAGACAAAGUUGCCCCUGGCUGAGACCACUGCACUGGCUCAAGCAGGAAGGACUAUGUGAACCUGAAUGUCUUCUCCUGGGCUGUCAAGUUCUGUUAUUAACAAAGGCUACUCCACAGAGCUGGUGUUCCUCAGGGUAUUUACGCAGCCCAAGGUAGUCGGAUUCAUCUCAGGGUCAGCGAUGUUGUCUUGGGACGUUAGAGGGAUGCCGUUGCCUCCACAGUCUCUAAGGUACCUGUGGUGAUCCUCACUGAGCAGCAAGACCAUGGCUCCACCAACACACAGCACUCUGACAAAAAAUGGUAAUUGGAAUGAGUAUUUCUUUCUUCUGAAACAGCAAACAAUCCUGAUUUAUUUAAAAAUAGUUGUUAAUCUGAAAUUUAAUUUCAUCUAUUUAAAUACAAGGGUUUUGAUAAUUAGGUAGCAUCUUCUAUAAUGCAUAUUCAUUAUAGUAAUUAUGGAAUCUCUAGUACAAAUCUGCUUUAAUUAUCUAUUUUUGCUCUACUUAAAAGGCAAGCUUCAAAGUAAUUUGUAGUCACAUUCUAACAAAUGAUUGUAUAAUGAAGAAGGCGAAUGGUAGCAUCCUAUGGAGUCAGCAUAUUCAAGAAAGCAAAGGCCGAUGACAGAAGUCACCAGGGAGGAGUUGGGACAUGAACAAAAGGAUGAUUAGAAAAGACUUCAUAAAGGGAAAACCCUGAAACACUGACUUUUGAGAGUUUAUUUCCUCAGUCAUUCAAGUGCUGCCAGUGCAAACAGCACGAGUGACUGAAGGACCACAGCAGUGAGGGGCCAGGAGCAGGCAGACAGUGAGGCUUGGAGUGACAGGAAGGGGCCAAGGCUGGGAGGCAGUGGGGGUAGAAGCAACAGGAGGCACUGGCAGUGGUUCACCCUGGUGGGGGACCUGGAAAGAGGGAGCAGAACUCAGUCUGGAGUAUGAUGCCACUGUAACUGCCAAGGGACAGCUGGGGGCUCUGUACAGCAUGGGGGGCUCUGAGACCGGAAAGACAGGAGGUUUAAUGAUAGAGCCACAUGGCUGGGAUCAUCCAGGUGGCAGCAGGCUAAGAGGGACGCAAAGGCAGUGAGCAGGGACAUCACCUGUAAAGAAGGACCAUGGGAGAGUCAGGAGACACACUCUAGAGAAAACUGGGACAAUAGUGGUGCCAUGCAGGCCAAGGGAACGUGGCUCUAAGUGUCAAAAGCCACAGGACCACCAAGUGGCCAAGGUAGAUGCCACCAGUGAGCCUGGGGACAGAAGGCCCAGGAGCAAGGAGAUAAUGAGCUGGGACAGCAGGGUCUUGUUUCCACUCCUGAUUCCCUUCCCACCAGUGCUCCCUGGCGUUCACUCAGAAGAAGA
Arvicola amphibius (Eurasian water vole) is the source of this 2355-nucleotide long non-coding RNA. RefSeq lists it as uncharacterized. The record is from RefSeq and is a predicted model, not a curated record. Lineage: Eukaryota; Metazoa; Chordata; Mammalia; Rodentia; Cricetidae. The transcript is spliced from 3 exons.